Molecule: long non-coding RNA, 300 nt
Filed under: Linum usitatissimum (flax)
Lineage: Eukaryota; Viridiplantae; Streptophyta; Magnoliopsida; Malpighiales; Linaceae
Description: long non-coding RNA (LUSI_LNC000929)
Source: RNAcentral
UCUCAGUUUCCGACUGUAGCUCAUCUUUCAGUCUCUGAUUCUCUUGGACCAUGUUAGAUAAUUGAACACAUUCCUGGCCAAUAGCGAUCUUGAUAUCCUCGAGAAGUUCAGGCAGGCUACGAUUUGAAACCCGCUGUUGCUUCAUCAGUGCCUUCAAAACAACCUGAAGCCAGUCAAAGUCUUGAUCUUUAUCACCAUCAUCAUCACCACUAGUAACAUUCUUCGAGGAGGCAUCGUCGCCAACUGAAACGAUGGCGAAUUUCUCCAUCUCGACAAAGUCAUCCAUCAGACUCAUGUCCA